UGCUGAGUGAACACCACAGACGGUGUGUUCCGUACAGGCAUACCCACACAGCCCCUACUCUCCGGAUUCCGUCACCCACCUGCUGCCUGACUUGAGGACCCGACUCGGCUUCCCUCUGCUUGGUACUGCCCACAUCGCCCGGGAGAGCACUUGGAGCACCAUGGCAUGCCCAAUAGGGCUGUGCACUGCCUAAUCAGGCAGAACCAGGGGUCCGUGGCCUGGGGUGGAGCCAUGAGCCCAGUGGGGCACUGUGUACACUCAUCCACAAGGAAACUAGCGGCUGCCCAGAACCGAAUGGCACCCACGGAGUCGGAGCCCCUUGCCCGGACCGGCAGACUGAGGCCUCCGCCCACCUUCUGAUGCUUGCGCUCCUUCUCGAUGCGGUCCAUCCUCUCCACGCGCAGCCGGUCCAGCUCCAGGCGCAGCUCGUCCAGCUCGGGAGCGACGUGGUGCCGGCUAACCAGCACCUCGAGGAUCUCCAGGACCCUCACGACCUUGGGCAUGAGACGCGCGAUGGCCUCGCAGCCGUGCUGGUCGAUGACCCUCUCGAACUCGUGGCCCACGAGCGACGCGAUGUCGUACACGUCCAUGACGGUCAGCUCCGCCACGUUCUUCUCCAGCGCCGACAGGGCGGCGGGCGGCGACCCUAGCGGCUCCUCCAUGGCCCCGCGCGGGCCCCGCGCCGUCCGUCCACUCGCGUAACUCGUGAACUUGGGGGGCGGGAGUGGAGCGGGGGGGGAGAGCUGGAGCACCGCGGGGAGGAUGGCGAGGGCGGCGGCGCGUGCGCAGGCCCGCGGCGCCUCCCGACUUGCGGCUCCGACACCGAGCGAUGGUAGACGCGGGUCCCGGCCUGGGAGGCGGCUGGCGCCCGGUGCCCGGAGGGACCGCGGCCCGGAGACUCCUCCCGGGGUGGUGAAUCCAAACUUUGGAAACGCCUAGUGACUCCGGGCGGCCGGCUCCGCCCCGCGGGGACGCUGCGAGGCGACGUGGGCUUGGAGAGGGGCGCGCGUCUCCGUCCCCGGGGGUCCCGGUGCGCAGCCCCGCUGGUCCCGAAGCUCCGCCCCUGGCUCCGGUCCCGCCUCCCGGGCUCCGGUCCCCGCGACCCCAGCCCUGCUCCGCCUCCUCCAGCCGCGCUCCGCCUCCCGGGCAGCGGGGAGGCCACGGCGCACGGCCAUUGGCGGCUGCAGGAGGGGGCGGAGUCUGUCUGCGGAGGGAUGGGGUCAUGGGGUGGGCUCACCCUGCGAUCCAGCUCCUGCAGGACCCCGGCACCUAGAAGCUCUUUACUCCUCCGUUUCUCACCUCAACUCCACGGCUCCCCACCCUGCACUUCAGCAGGCGCCUCGGGGACAGCAGUGCACAGCGCAUAGGGGUCCUCGGUCCCCAGAGCCACCCAAUGCACUACCCCGACUCCAGCUCAUCCUGGGGAACCUCUGACCCCCUCGGGUCUACUCUCCCCUCGGCUCCGCUGUCUACCCCAACUCUGUGGCACACCACCCUGUGCUCCAGCAGAGUCUCAGGCGACUUCAGCCAACAACGCAAAGUGUCCUCGGUCUCCAAAGUCGCUGGCUGCCCCGCUUACCCCGCCACUAACCCGCAGCUCCUUACAGCCAAAACGUCACUUGUCGGUGGAAGAAGACUGGCUGGGGAUUUGGGUCUCAGUCCCAAGACUGGUCCUGAGCUCUUUUCGUUCUUUGGCUUCGCCAAAUCCACUUGUCCAUCAGACUCCAUUCCACCACACCAAGAGAGAUUAUCCCGAAUCUGCCCCCAGCCCCUACUAUUCUGUUCCCACGCGUGGAGGAGGAACCCGGUGAAUUCCCACCAUCGUGAACUGCCUACUGCAUACAUAACAUUAAGUUCUGCUUGAGGAGGUCUCCACUGUCUGACUGAGAGGUCCCCGGUUCUUCAGGACAGAAUUUUUGUUGGUUUUGUGUGUUUUGAGUGGUUGCCUGCAACUCGCAAUGAAGACCAGGGUGGUUUUCAAACUCAUAGAGAUCCUCCUGCCUCUGCCUCCUGAGUGCUAGGAUUAAAGCACAUUUUAUCCCAUUUACAUUAAAAAAAAUUGAGAUAGCCCAGAGGUUGCAGUAGCCCCCCACCUCAAUCUCUGUUUUUUUGCUUUUGGUCAUUGUCCCCCCUUUCUCUCUCUCUCUCUCUCUCUCUCUCUCUCUCUCUCUCUCUCUCUCUCUCUGUGUGUGUGUGUGUGUGUGUGUGUGUGUGUGUGUGUGUGUAUGUGGUCCCAGUUACAAACGCCCAACCACUGUCUGGAAACAUUUGAUGUUUCCAGAAAGAAAUAAUUUAUAAAUUUUAAAUAACUUUAAAUACAGUAUAUUAUUAGAGUAAUCGUACUUUAUUGUUAAAAAGCCUUACUCUUAAACUGGGCAGUGUUGGCACAUACCUUUAAUCCCAGCACUCAGGAGGCAGAGGCAGGAGGAUCUCUGUGAGUUCCAGGACAGCCUGGUCUACAAAGUGAGUUCCAAUACAACCAGAACUACACAGAGAAACCCUGUCUCAAAAAAAAACAAAACAAAACCAACCAACCAAACAAACAAAAAUCCUAACUCUUGAACUGUGCCUAAUUUAUAAAUUAAACUUUAUCACAGAGAAAUGUAUAAAGAAACUGGGCAGUAGUGGAACAUGCCUAGUCCCAUCACUGGGGAAGCAGAGGCAGGGGAAUCACUGAGUUCCAGGCCAACCUGGUCUACAGAGUGAGUUCCAGGACAGUCAUAGCUACAUGGAGAAACUUUGUUUCAACAAAACAAACAGACAAUGUAUAUAUUGUAGCUGGGCUUUUGUCUGCCCCCCAGGCUGCUGGACUGGAGGCUGCUACACUGAAUGGGGUGGCUGUACUGAGAUCAGUAGCCCUGGGAGCGACUUCACAGGAGGGAAACUGUUGCACUGGAGGCUGUCCUUUCCUGUGGAAUCUGCUGAACAUCUGGAAGGCAUCAUCCCGGCUUCCCUACGUGAACCUGUGAAUCUGCUGGAACAUAUUCUAAAAUCCCAUCCCUCCUGAGGCCUCUAAGGGGCUGAGCUGGGAUCUCACACCUCUGCCAAGACAGGACAGAUAUGGUAAUCCAAGAUCACAACACCCCAGCUUCCACAGAAGAACCCAAGAAUGCUGCUUUGCUGAGACUCCCAGUGAUGGUCCAUCCAGCCCAAAAGGAAGCUCUGGUCUUGAGCGGAGAAGAGGACUGAAUGAAUACUGAGUGGAGCGUGGCGGGCAAGUGUGGGCUGGUGAUGGAGUGUGAGAUAAUAGAAACAGCAGAAAGAGGCUUACAUCCCAGCACUUAGGAGGCUGAGGGUCAGGAGUUCAAAGCCAGCCUGGACUACACAGGGAAACCCUGCCCCUUCUCAAAAAAAUAAAAUAAGUUAAGUAAAUAAAUAGGAAGAAAACAAAGAAAAGAGGCCAGCCCGCUAGAGGACCCAUCCAUUCCAAAUGGAACUGAACCUCAUUGAAAUAGGUACAGUGAGUGGGUGGAGAGAGCCUCAGAGGCUACUCUGAAAUUCCAGCUCGUGGGGGUGGGGCACAGCUUUCUUCUGGCCUCCACAGGCUCCAGCUUGCAUGUGGCACGCGCGCACACAUGCACACACACACACACACACACACACACACACACACACACACACACAAAUAAAUUGUUAAGACACAGGCAGUCAGCCGCCGGUGGUGGCGCAAGCCUUUAAACCCAGCACUCAGGAGGCAGAGGCAGGCAGAUCUCUGUGAGUUCGAGGUCAGUCUGGGCUGCUACAGAGCAAGUUCCAGGAUAGGCUCCAAAGCUGCACAGAGAAACCCUGUGUGUGUGUGUGUGUGGGAAGAGACACAGGCAGUCUAUUGCUGACAAACAGUUGUAGCCUCAGCAGCUAGGAGAUGCUGACAGAAGGACCAGAGUUCGUGUAUCUCCUGGAUCACAUGCUGAGUUCAAGGCCAGCCUCGGCAACAGGAGCCUGUCUAAAAAAAUAAAUAGGGGGCUUGAGAUAUGGCUCAGCAGUUAAGAGCACUAAUUGCUCUUGCAAAGGACCCAGGGUCAAUUCCCAGCACCCACCUGGUGCCUUACAACUGUCUGUACUUCGAUUCCAAGGGGUCCAACGUCAUUCUCUGACCUCCCCAGGUAUGCAUGUGGUACACAGACAUAUAUGUGGUCAAAAACACUUAUAUAAAUAAAAUACAUAAAUCCAAAGUUUUUUUUUAAUUAAAUAAAAAUAGGGGCUGGAGAGAUAGCUCAGCUGUUAAGUGCGUUUACUUCUCUUGUGGAGAAUUCAAGUUUCUCAGCAGCCAUAUCAAGUAGCUCUCAGAUACCUGUACCUACUUCCAGGCUAUCUUGCACCUUCUUCCCAUCCCCCCAAAAAUCUGCAGGUACACACUCAUACAUAUAAAUAAAAAUAAAGUCAGUUUUAAAACUGUCUUACUCAGCCGGGUGGCAGUGGCGCACACCUUUAAUACCAGCACUC
Molecule: long non-coding RNA, 4443 nt
Organism: Peromyscus maniculatus bairdii (prairie deer mouse)
Lineage: Eukaryota; Metazoa; Chordata; Mammalia; Rodentia; Cricetidae
Source: RefSeq, a predicted model, not a curated record